RNAcentral lists this ribosomal RNA (340 nucleotides) under uncultured eukaryote. Its description in RNAcentral is "bacterial SSU rRNA". It matches the Rfam family "Eukaryotic small subunit ribosomal RNA", at positions 592 to 929 of the family's 1831-position model. The record is from RNAcentral.
CAAUAGCGUAUAUUAAAGUUGUUGCAGUUAAAAGCUCGUAGUUGGAUUUCUGGCCGAGUGUCCCUAGGCCAGCAUGACGUUUGGUCCUAGGCGCUCUGCCAUCCUUCUGUCAACCUUCGCCUUCUUCAUUGGGGGCGCUGGGGCUCAGAUAUUUUACCUUGAGAAAAUUAGAGUGUUUCAGGCAGGCUUUCGCCGGAAUACAUUAGCAUGGAAUAAUGGAAAAGGACUUCAACCUCUUCUGUUGGUCUGAGAGGCUGUAGUAAUGAUUAAUAGGGAUAGUUGGGGGUCGGAUUAGUACUUAACUAGUCAGAGGUGGAAAUUACUUCCGACUUUGUUUAAA